CCCAAUAUUUAUUUCUAUCGACAAAACACCGGUGUCUAGGCGAGGCGAGCAUGGGCACUAAAUAAUUAGGUUUGAAGCACCUUGAGAAUUGUAAUCGCCAAAUCCAAUCGACGAUGCCCUUGAAUAACGUACACUAUAGAGAUCAAGGAGGCAGCCUUUAAAUCGAUGAACUUAUACCGAUUACACAUAUAUCCCUCUAAAUCUUAUUUCUUCUUGUUUCUUCUAAUUCCUAUGAAUUGGCGUGAUUUUUGUGCACUGUUGUCUGUUGUUGGAGUUCGUUCACAAUAGAAAUUAGUGUACCUGUUGUAGUUCGAUUUGGUCCGAUUUUCCUUCUAUUUGAGUUCAAAAUUUGUUUAUUAAGUUAUGAUUUGCAAUUGAUUUUCUGAGAUUAUUCUGAAAGGUGAAGGAAGCAGAGGGAUAUAUUACAUUCAUUGUUGGAUUGAAGAUUUACUCAGUAUAUGGGGGUUUAGUGCUAUUCUGAUUUGUACAUCGGCUUUAGUCACUAAUAGGGUGAAGUCAUAAGCUCGUUGUUGAUCAUGUUGUUUGUGUGGUAUUCACAAGUUGUUUGCUAUUCUUGGUAAUACUCAGAAAGUAGGACACCAUGAUUGGUGUUUCAAAAAAGUUGACUGGUUUAGUUGUAUCAAAGUUCGUAGAUUUUGUUGUUUCAAGAAUGUUGUAAGACAUUGUUUUAAGCCAACUUUGUGUGUGUUAGUUUGUAUAGCAUCUUUAGAUAAAAGGUCUUAUAAUAUUGUUGAUUUCUAAAUUA
Molecule: long non-coding RNA, 766 nt
Organism: Lactuca sativa (garden lettuce)
Lineage: Eukaryota; Viridiplantae; Streptophyta; Magnoliopsida; Asterales; Asteraceae
Source: RefSeq, a predicted model, not a curated record